GAUGAACGCUAGCUACAGGCUUAACACAUGCAAGUCGAGGGGAAACGGCAUUGAGUGCUUGCACUCUUUGGACGUCGACCGGCGCACGGGUGAGUAACGCGUAUCCAACCUUCCCAUUACUGUGGGAUAACCUGCCGAAAGGCAGACUAAUACCGCAUAGUCUUCGAUGACGGCAUCAGAUUUGAAGUAAAGAUUUAUCGGUAAUGGAUGGGGAUGCGUCUGAUUAGCUUGUUGGCGGGGUAACGGCCCACCAAGGCUACGAUCAGUAGGGGUUCUGAGAGGAAGGUCCCCCACAUUGGAACUGAGACACGGUCCAAACUCCUACGGGAGGCAGCAGUGAGGAAUAUUGGUCAAUGGACGGAAGUCUGAACCAGCCAAGUAGCGUGCAGGAUGACGGCCCUAUGGGUUGUAAACUGCUUUUGUAUGGGGAUAAAGUUAGGGACGGGUCCCUAUUUGCAGGUACCAUACGAAUAAGGACCGGCUAAUUCCGUG
Molecule: ribosomal RNA, 492 nt
Filed under: uncultured bacterium
Lineage: Bacteria
Description: partial 16S ribosomal RNA
Rfam family: Bacterial small subunit ribosomal RNA
Source: RNAcentral